AGCAGCCGCGGUAAUUCCAGCUCCAAUAGCGUAUAUUAAAGUUGUUGCAGUUAAAAAGCUCGUAGUUGAAUUUCGGGAUCGGCAUGUUGGUCGUGCCUUACGGGGUAUGAACUGGCAUCGUCGGUUUCUCACCUUCUGGAGAAUCGUGAUGCUCUUAAUUGGGUGUUACGUGGAUCCAGGACCUUUACCUUGAAAAAAUUAGAGUGUUUAAAGCAGGCAUUUUGCUCGAAUACAUUAGCAUGGAAUAAUAAAAUAGGACGGUUUGGUUCUAUUUUGUUGGUUUCUAGGAUCACCGUAAUGAUUAAUAGGGAUAGUUGGGGGCAUUAGUAUUCAAUUGUCAGAGGUGAAAUUCUUGGAUUUAUUGAAGACUAACUACUGCGAAAGCAUUUGCCAAGGAUGUUUUCAUUAAUCAAGAACGAAAGUUAGGGGAUCGAAGACGAUCAGAUACCGUCGUAGUCUUAACCAUAAACUAUGCCGACUAGGAAUCAGACGAUGUUAAUUUUUUAAUGACUCGUUUGCACCUUACGGGAAAACC
RNAcentral lists this ribosomal RNA (535 nucleotides) under uncultured fungus. RNAcentral describes it as "SSU rRNA". It matches the Rfam family "Eukaryotic small subunit ribosomal RNA", at positions 569 to 1099 of the family's 1831-position model. The record is from RNAcentral. Lineage: Eukaryota; Fungi.